This 187-nucleotide small RNA is filed under the name Ictidomys tridecemlineatus (thirteen-lined ground squirrel). RNAcentral describes it as "7SK RNA (ENSSTOG00000033527.1)". It matches the Rfam family "7SK RNA". From Rfam's summary of the family: 7SK was discovered as an abundant small nuclear RNA in the mid-70s but a possible function has only recently been suggested. Two independent studies have found that 7SK RNA binds the CDK9/cyclin T complex (known as elongation factor P-TEFb). Lineage: Eukaryota; Metazoa; Chordata; Mammalia; Rodentia; Sciuridae. The record is from RNAcentral.
AGGAAUACAAAUCAUGUCUCAAUAAUAACCCUCUGUGCGCUCGGUCGAAGAGGACUAUUCUUCGGUCAAGGGUAUACAAGUAGCUGCUCUCCCUUGCUAGAACCUCCAAACAAGCUCUCAAUAAUAACCCUGAAUCUUAAUGGCCUAAACUCACCAAUCAAAAGACACAGACUGGCAGAUUGGAUUA